This 372-nucleotide unclassified non-coding RNA is filed under the name fungal sp. RNAcentral's name for it is "partial internal transcribed spacer region". The stretch from base 1 to 46 matches the Rfam family "Eukaryotic small subunit ribosomal RNA", at positions 1786 to 1831 of the family's 1831-position model. Lineage: Eukaryota; Fungi. The record is from RNAcentral.
AAGUCGUAACAAGGUUUCCGUAGGUGAACCUGCGGAAGGAUCAUUAAUACGUAUCCACGUAUCAACCGAAUCGUGAACAAGUUUUCCGCCUUGCGAUGAGAGUAGUUGCGGUUCAGUUUUACUUGGACGACUCACUAGUUGGGUUGGACGAGUUUUGAUGAUGUGCAACUGACCGGUCCUAGAUGUUGCUUUUUGGAAUGUCUAGCUCAUCCAAGUGUGGCUCAACAAAUUUGACACAUCAUCGCUUUUUAACUUUUAACCCCAUGUACAACAUUUUGAACUGAAAAACUCUUCUUUUACUGGAGCAAUCCAGUGAGAGUCGAAAAAUCCGAAAUUAUGAAACAACUCUUAACAACGGAUAUCUUGGUUCUC